UUCUGCUACCAUACCAGCCUGAACAUACUGACCUUCUCUGAUUUUGGAAGCUAAGUAGGGUUGGGGCUCAUUAGUACUUGGAUAGGAGGCCAUCACAUAAUGUUAGGUACCUGCAGACA
RNAcentral lists this ribosomal RNA (119 nucleotides) under Pogona vitticeps (central bearded dragon). The record is from RNAcentral. Lineage: Eukaryota; Metazoa; Chordata; Lepidosauria; Squamata; Agamidae.